UACGGAGGGUGCAAGCGUUAUCCGGAAUCACUGGGUUUAAAGGGUGCGUAGGCGGGUUGAUAAGUCAGUGGUGAAAUCUUUCGGCUUAACCGGAAAAUUGCCAUUGAUACUGUUAAUCUUGAGUAUGGUUGAAGUGGGCGGAAUGUGGCGUGUAGCGGUGAAAUGCUUAGAUAUGCCACAGAACACCGAUUGCGAAGGCAGCUCACUAAACCAUUACUGACGCUGAGGCACGAAAGCGUGGGUAUCAAACAGG
Molecule: ribosomal RNA, 253 nt
Filed under: uncultured bacterium
Lineage: Bacteria
Description: partial 16S ribosomal RNA
Rfam family: Bacterial small subunit ribosomal RNA
Source: RNAcentral